AUUGAACGCUGGCGGCAUGCCUUACACAUGCAAGUCGAACGGCAGCUCGGGUACUUGCACCUGGUGGCGAGUGGCGAACGGGUGAGUAAUACAUCGGAACAUGUCCUGUAGUGGGGGAUAGCCCGGCGAAAGCCGGAUUAAUACCGCAUACGAUCCACGGAUGAAAGCGGGGGACCUUCGGGCCUCGCGCUAUAGGGUUGGCCGAUGGCUGAUUAGCUAGUUGGUGGGGUAAAGGCCUACCAAGGCGACGAUCAGUAGCUGGUCUGAGAGGACGACCAGCCACACUGGGACUGAGACACGGCCCAGACUCCUACGGGAGGCAGCAGUGGGGAAUUUUGGACAAUGGGCGAAAGCCUGAUCCAGCAAUGCCGCGUGUGUGAAGAAGGCCUUCGGGUUGUAAAGCACUUUUGUCCGGAAAGAAAUCCUUGGCUCUAAUACAGUCGGGGGAUGACGGUACCGGAAGAAUAAGCACCGGCUAACUACGUG
Molecule: ribosomal RNA, 486 nt
Filed under: uncultured bacterium
Lineage: Bacteria
Description: partial 16S ribosomal RNA
Rfam family: Bacterial small subunit ribosomal RNA
Source: RNAcentral